This is a long non-coding RNA of Zingiber officinale, 1071 nucleotides long. RefSeq lists it as uncharacterized. The transcript is spliced from 4 exons. The record is from RefSeq and is a predicted model, not a curated record. Lineage: Eukaryota; Viridiplantae; Streptophyta; Magnoliopsida; Zingiberales; Zingiberaceae.
CCCCCUCCCUCUAGCGGGCACAUCGGUCCCAACACUAGCCUCCUCGGCCAUUCCUCCGCACCGCCAACGACCCAAUCCCUAACCCUUCAAAGCCACCAAAACUUUCAUGCCUCUUCCGACGCUAUCAUUCUUGUUGCUUAGGGUUGUCCAAUUGUGCGCCCAGUAGCCGAUCCUUUCCUUCAUUGGGUUAGCAAAAAGAUUCUACUUCUAAAGCUGACGGUGAGUCUUCAGAAGGAUUACCCUAGCCCUUCUACUUCUAAAGCUGACGAUGAUGACGAGGGCAGAGGAAUUGGGAGGCGUAUAGACAAUCGCAAUCCGACUCUUCUUCUCUUCUCCCAAUCUCCACUUGCUGGAUCUUCUCUACAAUCACCUCGUUCACCACAUAAAGGUAAAUAGUCAUAAAUCUGAUUGCUAGUGGGGUGGAGGCAGUUCCUGUGGAGGAUGAUGUUGCCGUUGAUGUGAUUGAGGAGAUAGAGCCGCCUUCGGCUGCGGUGCCCUUCUCCAGGCUAUUUUCCUACGUAGAUGAGCUCGAUUGGGUGCUGAUGGUGGUCGGGGCUAUACUGCCCUGCCCAAGGGGGGUGGCGCUAGUGGUCUACUUGUAUUUCUUUGGAAGGGUCAUCAACUUGCUCGACUCUCAUAGUGAGGCGCUGUUUGGUAAAAUCAAGCAGGUAUCUCAAAAGGGAUUGAUAGGCAUAAUACUAGUAAGCCAUUGGUUUGUGCCUUGCUCUAACACCAAAGAAGUUGCAAUCUCUCACUAGAUUUCAUGUUUGGAUGGUUCACGAACCCCUUAACUCAAGGGGACUAUCCUUUCACAAUGAGAGCACUUGUUGGGGAUCGCCUUCCAAAGUUUAGCACAGAACAAUCUCAACUUGUUAAGUCAUCAUUUGAUUUCAUUGAACUUAAUUACUAUACCGCAUACUUUGCUGAUUCUAUUUCACUCUAACAUCAUUUUAUCUUGUAUGCUCUUUUGGUGUUGAUUUUUCAUGAUUGUAUGGAUUUAUAUAAGUGUAUGAAUGUAAACAAAGGAGAUUUUGUUCGUUUGUUUGCUAAAACUACUUUUGAGUUCAAAAA